RNAcentral lists this ribosomal RNA (254 nucleotides) under uncultured bacterium. Its description in RNAcentral is "partial 16S ribosomal RNA". It matches the Rfam family "Bacterial small subunit ribosomal RNA", at positions 524 to 776 of the family's 1533-position model. The record is from RNAcentral.
UACGAAGGGGGCUAGCGUUGUUCGGAAUUACUGGGCGUAAAGCGCACGUAGGCGGAUAUUUAAGUCAGGGGUGAAAUCCCGGGGCUCAACCCCGGAACUGCCUUUGAUACUGGGGUAUCUCGAGUCCGAGAGAGGUGAGUGGAAUUCCGAGUGUAGAGGUGAAAUUCGUAGAUAUUCGGAGGAACACCAGUGGCGAAGGCGGCUCACUGGCUCGGUACUGACGCUGAGGUGCGAAAGCGUGGGGAGCAAACAGG